This 499-nucleotide ribosomal RNA is filed under the name uncultured bacterium. RNAcentral's name for it is "partial 16S ribosomal RNA". It matches the Rfam family "Bacterial small subunit ribosomal RNA", at positions 29 to 523 of the family's 1533-position model. The record is from RNAcentral.
AACGAACGCUGGCGGCGUGCUUAACACAUGCAAGUCGAACGGAAUAUGCAGCAAUGUAUGUUUAGUGGCGCACGGGUGAGUAAUGAAUAGGAACGUACCAGCAAAUGGGGGAUAACCACGGGAAACUGUGGCUAAUACCGCAUGAGAUCGUAAGAUGAAAGAGGGCCUCUACUUGUAAGCUCUUGUUUGUUGAUCGGCCUAUUUCCCAUUAGCUAGUUGGUAGGGUAAAGGCCUACCAAGGCAUCGAUGGGUAGCUGGUCUGAGAGGAUGGCCAGCAACACUGGGACUGAGACACGGCCCAGACUCCUACGGGAGGCAGCAGUGGGGAAUUUUGCACAAUGGGGGAAACCCUGAUGCAGCAACGCCGCGUGAGUGAAGAAGGCCCUUGGGUUGUAAAGCUCUUUCGGCUAGGAAGAGGGUUGUUUUACCUAAUACGUAAAGCAGCUGACGGUACUAGAAGAAGAAGCACCGGCUAACUCCGUGCCAGCAGCCGCCGUAA